CCCUUAGAUGUCCGGGGCUGCACGCGCGCUACACUGAAUGAAUCAGCGUGCUAGAAAACCUUGUUUGACAUGGCUAGGUAACCCAUUGAAAAUCAUUCGUGAUUGGGAUCGGGACUUGCAAAUGUGUCCCUUGAACGAGGAAUUCCCAGUAAGUGCGGGUCAUCAGCUCGCGUUGAUUACGUCCCUGCCCUUUGUACACACCGCCCGUCGCUGCCCGGAACUGAGCCGUUUCGAGAAGACUGAGGAUUUCUGACUUGAGGCCUUCACGGGCUUCUAGUCGGUGAAAAUCAAUUUAAUCGCAGCGGCUUGAACCGGGCAAAAGUCGUAACA
This 330-nucleotide ribosomal RNA is filed under the name uncultured eukaryote. RNAcentral's name for it is "partial 18S ribosomal RNA". It matches the Rfam family "Eukaryotic small subunit ribosomal RNA", at positions 1470 to 1796 of the family's 1831-position model. The record is from RNAcentral.